ACAUUACCAGUACUUGAUUCUCCCAUCUUUAUGCGCUACGGCAUCCGAGGACAGAGCAACUCCCUCCCACACUUCCACGCUUCCUUAAGGUCACUCAUUGUCGCCCUCGGCAGAUCUUCGUGCCCAAUACGUGUAUCACGAACAUCAAGUAAGCGGUUCCCAUUACUGAUGAACCUCUGUUUGCGCUUCCUAGACAAUUCCCUCCAUUUCAUAUCAUCAUUUCUAUCUUCAUCUUCCGCCUUGUCCACCUCCACUUCUAGAGCUUGGCACCACAGGGCGACAAUAAGACCCUCUGCAUCCGCCUCGCAUACUUCAACAAGCAUCAUGGCCACAUCCCAAAAAGUUUCCAAAAGGUAAAAAUCGGCAGUAUGUAUAAAAAGCCAUACGGCGUCUAGCAGACUGAGGUUGUCGUAAACGAUUUGCGCAUAGUUGUUGGAUCCGUCAUUCCGAGGAAGGUUGGACCUGAAGUCUCGAAGAAUGAUAAUGGCACCGCGGAAAAAGGCCUUGUACAGGUACUCAUCCAGCUCGACUUCGGCAGUUGGAGGAGGUAAACCGACAAUCUCGAAUAAUCGGCAGCAGUGAUCAAGGACUCCCAAUGACUCCCCGCAUAGCAUCUGCUCGUCGACAAACAUUGCGGAUAUGUUGACGAACAUCUCAGGAAUGCGUGAUUUUGUCUUUUUGUCCAGGAGUGUUUCAAGGAACUGGAUUAGAACCGGAAAGGAUCCAUCAGCAUUUACCCAGGCAAAAUAUGUCUGUAAUGGAGUCUACUCACACCCAAUGUCAUUGUCAGUGAUGUGCGAAAUAUGAGGAUUUUGGUCGGCGGGUUCUUUACUUCACCAUCAGUUUUAUUGUCAAGAGUCUUUGAAUUUGGCGCAUCUACCUCGCCAUUGUCAUUUUCCUCCACAUCAUCCCAUUCUGGUGCACUGGCUGCGACUGGUCUAGGCUGUAAAGGCGCACCAGCAUAAUACUCAAUAUGCUGUCCUCUCUGGGAAGACCAACUCGAUGCAGCCGGACUGUUUAUAACAUUUAAACCCCCCAUAAAUGGAUCGAUCGUCCAGUGGGGAACUGAAUUUGAAGCCUCUCUUCCCAUAGGACUAGGUCGAGAGAUGGAUCUCUGUGCGAGAGGAGAUGAGGGGGCGGAACCUCCAGAUUGAUCCGGAUAAAGUCUCCGGUGUGGUGAGCUGGGCAUUUGUGCACUGGGACUCUGGACGAUAACUAUACUAGACUCGGCGUAAGGCUCAAAUGGAGGAUCCAGAGAAUCGAUAAAACUGUCUCCUUCUUCCCACAGGUCCGAGCCGGGAGAAUGAGGCCUAUGAUCAGCAGGAUUGUAAUCUGUGAAUGUACGGCGCUGAGGACUCGGAGUUGAAGGCCGUGUGGGCGAGUAAGAGGGCAGAGCGGCGAAAGAAGAGGCCAAAGGAGAUUGCCUUUCCCGACUUUGACUUGUGGAAAAUUCGACGUGAAGUGGUAAAUCGUCCUCAUCGUCGUCGAAGUCGAGGCGCAGUGAUUCAGCAACUAAAGUUGAGAUGUGGCGCGCCCGAGAAAUCUGAGAACUAGAUGAUGAGGGCGAACGAGGCCGGUUUAGGGGAGGUUGGGAUCGGGGCGGGGUAUGAGGCGACCUAAGGGUUGCGAUGGGCAAAGGGCUAAAGUGAAUGGUAGGCGUGCGAGAUCGAUCAGGUAGUGGCUCGUCCAUGUCACUUUGCCAGAUGAGUUGCAGAGCUUCAGGCCGCGACUGGGCGUCCAUGCUAAGUUGCUCUUUAGAGUAUGGCUUAUGAAAGGGUAAAGAGGAAGAGCUACUAUUGAGGAAGAUGGCAUUUGCCAACAACAGCAAAAGAGAUCCGUGCGUCAAAAAAAGGUCGCGUUGGUUGAGCACUGAAUCUAAAAGAACUGAUCCAACAAUCAGGCUGACUUGGAUCACGAUGAAAAUGAAGGCUUCGACAAUAGCCGAGAGAAAGACCAGGUUCCGGCUCGGUACAUCGGCAACAACCCUUUACCGCCAACUUUGUCCUUUUCUGGGAUAGAAGUUAAUCAUCACUUGAGUCCUUCAUCCGUUUAUUUUGGCACAAUAAGGAGACUCGGUACCUUGGCAAGUCCAUCUGCCAGUAAUCCAAACUUACUACAUGUACAUGAAGGAAAACGGCGGUUCGCAACGUAAGGAGCGAAUGAGCUCAGUUCAUCCCCAUUCAUAUAUAGUGUUAAUUAUACGCGCAUAUGCAUGACGACGCCA
Molecule: small RNA, 2224 nt
Filed under: Cryptococcus neoformans H99
Lineage: Eukaryota; Fungi; Basidiomycota; Tremellomycetes; Tremellales; Cryptococcaceae
Description: Cryptococcus neoformans var. grubii H99 hypothetical RNA
Source: RNAcentral